Long non-coding RNA from Drosophila guanche, 1310 nucleotides. RefSeq lists it as uncharacterized. The transcript is spliced from 3 exons. Lineage: Eukaryota; Metazoa; Arthropoda; Insecta; Diptera; Drosophilidae. The record is from RefSeq and is a predicted model, not a curated record.
GGAAAGAGUCGGAAUUCAACAAACAACCCAAGUGGAAAACAAAAAUUACAAAAACCAUAAACAAUAUUAAAAAAUAUGUGAUAGUGCCAAAUGAUGGCUUUGAAUGCAGGUGUGGGACGGCAGCCCUGCAAAAGUUAUUUGCUGAAAACAGCUGCGCAAAAUCAUAUUAAUGUCAUUAAAGGCCGGUACAUUCGGCUUGGGUACGUUAGAUUGCGAAAACCGACCAAAUUCACAAAAGCAGUGGAAAAACAAACACGUUUCUCUAAAAGACCACGAAACACGUAGGUUACGCGAACGGUUGGCUAAAGCAGAUGCGGCAAUAAUUUAGCAAGCAAGCGGAAUAACAGUGAAAGAAAAAAGCGUAAAAGUGCGAAGUACAGACGGCAUGUGUGCUCUCUCUCGCUCUGUGUGUGUGUGUGUGCAUGUUUUCGGGAAUAACAAAUGAAAAACCUAUUGGGUUUGUUUUAUGUUUUUGCUUGUGAAAUAGUUAUGUUGCAUUCCCCACAAAAUAAGUGGAACUCAUUGUGGUGGUGCGGUGGGCGACCAACAGGCUAGCAACAACAGUUAUUCAGCAGACUCUCUCUUUCCAUGCAAUGCGCUCACUCGCUCUCUCUCUCUUCGCUCAGCUGACAUGCUGCAACCUCCAGGCGAAUGCACGAAAAAGCACUUUGAUAAAUAAUUUGUUAAUACAAAGUGCAAAGCGAAGGCUGGACCGGCGCUAGCAGCGCUGCGGUCGCUCUGUCAUUCUACUCUUCUCGAUGUUUCGAAAUUCUCGAACUCCAAUUAUAAAAAUAUCAAAUUAAAUUGAAUAUUUAAACGAAAAACCGCAAAUAGAAAGUGAAGUUUACACAAAUUAAAAGCGACAACAACCGAAAAAAAUACUGCGGGGAGUGAGUGAAUUGGCCAACGGCGGUUGUGCACCGAAACGGUAAACAGCAGCAGCCACAUAUCAUAACAUUCACCAUUGUGUGUGAAAGAAGUGCAAAAAAUCGGCAGCAGAAAGCGGAGAAAGAACAACAACAGCAACAACUAAAGGAGGAGGAGGAAAGAGUAACAGCAGCACAUACAGCAUUUACUGCGUCGCAGCUUUUACCGUUGUAGAGCAGAAGCAGAAACAGCAGCAGCGCAUCGUCUCUUUUUGGCAGGGACAAACAUUUUCUGCCGGACAGAAAAGAACAAACACGAGGACAGCCAUCAAUUAAAGAGGAGGCGGAGAGCAGCACACACACAGGAAUUGCGAUUCAAGCAAUCAGAGAUCGAAAAAGAAUAUAUUUCUGCUCUGUUCUGUUCAUUUUGCGCAGAGAUUAUUC